RNAcentral lists this ribosomal RNA (1099 nucleotides) under Bacillus safensis. Its description in RNAcentral is "bacterial SSU rRNA". It matches the Rfam family "Bacterial small subunit ribosomal RNA", at positions 54 to 1137 of the family's 1533-position model. The record is from RNAcentral. Lineage: Bacteria; Bacillati; Bacillota; Bacilli; Caryophanales; Bacillaceae.
CAUGCAAGUCGAGCGGACAGAAGGGAGCUUGCUCCCGGAUGUUAGCGGCGGACGGGUGAGUAACACGUGGGUAACCUGCCUGUAAGACUGGGAUAACUCCGGGAAACCGGAGCUAAUACCGGAUAGUUCCUUGAACCGCAUGGUUCAAGGAUGAAAGACGGUUUCGGCUGUCACUUACAGAUGGACCCGCGGCGCAUUAGCUAGUUGGUGGGGUAAUGGCUCACCAAGGCGACGAUGCGUAGCCGACCUGAGAGGGUGAUCGGCCACACUGGGACUGAGACACGGCCCAGACUCCUACGGGAGGCAGCAGUAGGGAAUCUUCCGCAAUGGACGAAAGUCUGACGGAGCAACGCCGCGUGAGUGAUGAAGGUUUUCGGAUCGUAAAGCUCUGUUGUUAGGGAAGAACAAGUGCGAGAGUAACUGCUCGCACCUUGACGGUACCUAACCAGAAAGCCACGGCUAACUACGUGCCAGCAGCCGCGGUAAUACGUAGGUGGCAAGCGUUGUCCGGAAUUAUUGGGCGUAAAGGGCUCGCAGGCGGUUUCUUAAGUCUGAUGUGAAAGCCCCCGGCUCAACCGGGGAGGGUCAUUGGAAACUGGGAAACUUGAGUGCAGAAGAGGAGAGUGGAAUUCCACGUGUAGCGGUGAAAUGCGUAGAGAUGUGGAGGAACACCAGUGGCGAAGGCGACUCUCUGGUCUGUAACUGACGCUGAGGAGCGAAAGCGUGGGGAGCGAACAGGAUUAGAUACCCUGGUAGUCCACGCCGUAAACGAUGAGUGCUAACUGUUAGGGGGUUUCCGCCCCUUAGUGCUGCAGCUAACGCAUUAAGCACUCCGCCUGGGGAGUACGGUCGCAAGACUGAAACUCAAAGGAAUUGACGGGGGCCCGCACAAGCGGUGGAGCAUGUGGUUUAAUUCGAAGCAACGCGAAGAACCUUACCAGGUCUUGACAUCCUCUGACAACCCUAGAGAUAGGGCUUUCCCUUCGGGGACAGAGUGACAGGUGGUGCAUGGUUGUCGUCAGCUCGUGUCGUGAGAUGUUGGGUUAAGUCCCGCAACGAGCGCAACCCUUGAUCUUAGUUGCCAGCAUUCAGUUGGGCA